GCUGGGAUGGCUCAGUCAAUAAAGCAAGACACUCCUAAUCUCAGGGGCAUGGGUUCGGGCCCCAUGCAUUGCA
Non-coding RNA from Podarcis lilfordi (Lilford's wall lizard), 73 nucleotides. The record is from the annotation of a GenBank genome assembly. NCBI's taxonomy places the organism in Eukaryota, Metazoa, Chordata, Lepidosauria, Squamata, Lacertidae.